This 408-nucleotide long non-coding RNA is filed under the name Mytilus galloprovincialis (Mediterranean mussel). Lineage: Eukaryota; Metazoa; Mollusca; Bivalvia; Mytilida; Mytilidae. The record is from RNAcentral.
GCCUAACAAGAUUAUGUGAGGGAAUUCGAUGUUUGCUAUACCACUGUUUAUUUCAACGCACUUUAUGAGAAUACUUCUGUACCAAUCGAAAUGAAAAUUUUUGCAGAGUUUUGAGAAAUGAUUUUAUUUUGUAGUAACGUAUUGUUUUGGAAACAUGUUAUGUUUUAAAAGGACAAAUUUUCCUUAUAAAGUCAAUAAUUAUGUGGACUUUUGAAGCCCAAACUUUGUAUGGCCUUAAAUACAUAAAUGAAAGAUCCAAAAACUGUACUAAUACAGAACGACAUGUUUAUGAAAUUAUAGCAAAACUUUUGGUUGACAAAUUUUUAUUCGUUGUUGCAAAAAUAUAAAUUUUGAAUAUCUUACAUUUUCUCCCUACUCAGUUUACCCCUAUUACUUAUUAUAAUGUGG